This 234-nucleotide long non-coding RNA is filed under the name Solanum tuberosum (potato). RNAcentral describes it as "long non-coding RNA (STUB_LNC008280)". The record is from RNAcentral. Lineage: Eukaryota; Viridiplantae; Streptophyta; Magnoliopsida; Solanales; Solanaceae.
UUUUCUUAAACUUACAAUUCCAAUUCUAUAGUCAUGAAAUUUACAAAUAUAAAUCUUUAAGUUAAGUUCAGAAAGUUACCUUCCACUUCUAUUUCUCCUAUUAAAAUAUUUUCCAACACCUUUAGCUUCACUCGAAUGGAAAGACAGACCCACGAGUUUCGUUCUCCUUCUCGAUCUUCACAAAUAGUUGCAGCAGCUUCCUUCAACAAAGACUCCAAAUAGGGUUAGGACUUC